Molecule: long non-coding RNA, 714 nt
Filed under: Homo sapiens (human)
Lineage: Eukaryota; Metazoa; Chordata; Mammalia; Primates; Hominidae
Description: HSALNT0044250
Source: RNAcentral
UUUCUCCUAUUAUUAGUAUGUGUCCUACCACACUGGCCUUCAUUCUACUCUCCAGAUAAGCCAAGUGCAUUCUCAUUUAGGGCCUCUGCUGUUGCUGUCUACUCUGUCUGGAACACUUUUCACCAUGGUAGAGCUCCCCAUGGUGCCCAGGCCAACUUCUUGUCACCUCAGAAGGUCUUCCCUGCCCAACCAUUCCAAAAUUGACCUCUAUUCAAUAAUAUUUUCUUAAUUGCACUUUACACCAUGUAAAAGUAUGUAGUUGAUUUAUAAUGUUUACUUAUUUCUGUCUCCUCUCUUAUAUCAGAUUAGUACCUCAGUUGAGAAUAGUGAUUUAAUCUGCUUAUUUAUGGCUCUAUCUCUUGUGCCUGAAACAGUGCAUUUAUAUAACAGAUGCUCAAUAAAUGUGUUAAAUGCAUGAUAAGUAAACUUUUUAAAUUUAAUUCCUUUAUUAAUUUCAGAUAUUUAACAUGUCUCAAUGGUGAGAAGAAAGGUUAAUAACAGCAAAUUGUAUUUACUUUCUCCGUGUCAAUAUAUAUUUUGAGUGAGGCUGUAUAAUUCAUCUACAACUGGAUAACAAAAAAACUUUAAAUGUAUUGACUUAAAGCAACAAUGAUUUGUUAUUCAUUAUGAUUCUGUGAGUUGGAUGAAGUCAGCUCAGUAGUUCCGCUCUAUGAGAGACAUUAUUCUAAACCUUCAGUGUUCUCCUUUAACUCC